CUGAAUCACCUCCUAAGGGCAGUCAAGUUGUCCAGAGUCCUGCUAAUGACCUCAUUAUUUGACUCAGGUGUGUUGAAGUAGAGACACAGCUAAAAGUUGCAGGAGACCGGCCCUCGACGCCUGGAGAGGCCCACCCUUGCUCUAAAUCAGUGUUUCUCAAUUCCAGUCCUCAGGCCCCCCCUCCCCUGCAUGUUUUAGGUGUUUCCCUUCUGCCACACACCUGGAUUGAAUAUGUGGGUGAUUAACAGGCUUCUGCAGCACUUGAUGGUCAUGCAGUCGUUUGAAUCAGCUGCUCUGGAGUAGAGGUACAUCUAAAACAUGCAGAGCAGGGGGGCCUGAGGACUGGAAUUGAGAAGCGCUGCUCUGAAUGGACAGUGUUUCAAAUAUUUGCACCAUAAUAAACAACCAAGGAAAAUGAUCCAGAGUAAUGUCUGAAAAAACAAACAAACAAAAAAAAAAAACCUCUAAUCUCUAAAAAAUCUCUAAAUCACCCAAUGUGAAACUAGUUGCCUUUUAGAUCUUAAUAUCUGCUUGGAUUCUUUUCAGUGAAAUUCCUCUCGUGUUAGUUUCUCUAGAUCACAGGUGUCAAACUCCAGUCCUCGAGGGCAGCUGUCCUGCAGUUUUUAGAUGUGCCACAGGUACAAAAAAGAAUGAAAUGGCUUAAUUACCUCCUCCUGGUGUAGAUCAGUUCUCCAGAGCCUUGCUAAGGACCUAAUUAUUCUAUUCAGGUGUGGUGCAGCAGAGGCACAUCUAAAAGUUGCAGGACAGCGGCCCUCAAGGACUGAAGUUUGACAGCCCUGGUCUAGAUAGUGAAUCUUCAGCCGUAUUUUAAUUACACAUUUCAAAUUUACCAUAUUAUAUUAUAUUAUUUACCAUAUCAUAUGCUUACCAAAAGCCACACCCUCUUUCAUCUAGUCUUUUUUUUUUAAGAAUAAACAGCUUCCUCACACCAAAAGAAUCUGAGAUGGAAUGAGAUAAGUGAUGAUUCAUCAGUGAGGGAGAAGGAUGUCUGUUUCAGAUGCCAGUAUCCACUGCAGAUACUUUUUGGGAGGCAGUGUCCUUAGAAUCUGGUGGGAAGAAGAGAAACGUUGAAUAAAUCUGCAGCGACUUAUAAGACAGGUGGACUUCAGCAAUCAAGACUCACUUAUCCUUCAUGAAUCAAUAAGCACAUUCAGGUGAUGCUUCAGUCUUUUGCCAAACUAGUGGGAAUCCUGGACUCACGUAAAAAAGGGUAUACAUCCAGGUCAAAGAUGUUUCAGAUGUUCCCUUCAGCAGCAAAGGCAGAGAGAGUACAAACUGACUGAGGAGGAGCUGUAGUUGGGCAGGUUU
This is a long non-coding RNA of Gambusia affinis (western mosquitofish), 1329 nucleotides long. RefSeq lists it as uncharacterized. NCBI's taxonomy places the organism in Eukaryota, Metazoa, Chordata, Actinopteri, Cyprinodontiformes, Poeciliidae. The transcript is spliced from 4 exons. The record is from RefSeq and is a predicted model, not a curated record.